Parus major (Great Tit) is the source of this 943-nucleotide long non-coding RNA. The record is from Ensembl. NCBI's taxonomy places the organism in Eukaryota, Metazoa, Chordata, Aves, Passeriformes, Paridae.
GGAUGCUGGGGGUCCCAUUUGGGUCUGGGGUCCCAGUUUGGGGUCUGGGGUCCCAGUUUGGGUCUGGGGUCCCAUUUGGGAUCUGGGGUCCCAGUUUGGGUCUGUGGUCCCAUUUGGGUCUGUGGUCCCAUUUGGGUCUGGGGUCCCAGUUUGGGUCUGGGGUCUCUCAGUGGGUCCCAUUUGGGUCUGGGGUCCCAGUUUGGGGUCUGGGUUCCCAGUUUGGGGUCCCAUUUGGGUCUGGGGUCUCACUGUACCCCGUUUCCCCCCCAGCUGGUUCGGGGUACCAACGUUUUUGGGGUCCCAGUUUGGGUCUGGGGUCCCAGUUUGGGUCUGGGGUCCCAGUUUGGGGUCUGGGGUCCCAUUUGGGUCUGGGGUCCCAGUUUGGGGUCCCAGUUUGGGGUCUGGGGUCCCAGUUUGGGGUCCCAGUUUGGGGUCUGGGGUCCCAGUUUGGGGUCUGGGGUCCCAUUUGGGUCUGGGGUCCCAGUUUGGGGUCUGGGGUCCCAUUUGGGUCUGGGGUCUCUCAGUGGGUCCCAUUUGGGUCUGGGGUCUCACUGUACCCCGUUCCCCCCAGCUGGUUAAGGGUACCAACGUUUUUGGGGUCCCAGUUUGGGGUCUGUGGUCCCAUUUGGGUCUGGGGUCUCUCAGUGGGUCCCAUUUGGGUCUGGGGUCUCUAUUUGGGUCUGGGGUCUCUCAGUGGGUCCCAUUUGGGUCUGGGGUCUCUAUUUGGGUCUGGGGUCUCACUGUACCCCGUUCCCCCCAGCUGGUUCGGGGUACCAAUGUUUUUGGGGUGCUCCGCGCCCCCCGCUCCCCCAGCACCGAGGCUCUGCUGCUGCUCGUGCCCUGCUCCGAGGGCAGCACCAACAACCAGGCCGUGGGGCUACUGCUGGCCCUGGCGGGCUACUGCAGGGGUCAGAUUUACUGGUCCAUACCAGUCCAUACUGGU